AGAGGACCGAUGAAGCUAUUGCACAAUUUUGUAAACUUAGUUCACAACAUACGAUUGGGUGAACUUUUUAACAACCCUAUCACCUUGAGGUAUAAAUGUAAACGUAGCAUAUUCGUGGAUAGGAUUCUUCCCUGUACCAAACGACAUGAAGUGCUUGCUGCCAAUUGCUGCCCUGUGCCUGUUUUGGGUUUUGCAACCGGAUGUAACAUUGACUGUGUAUCGGAAGCGCAAGAGUGGUGAGUGCGUCAAUUAGUGGAGACAAGGACAGGAUGUGCAGCGCCGGUUACUCCUACCGAGACUGUUUGGGUAGCGACUGUGAAGCAGCUGAUGCUGUAACAGAAGCCUUAAAGCUGCAAGGCUGCGGUUCAGAGAGAGUGUGGAUGUCAGCUUCAUCACUGCUGAUGGCCAUUGUUCUCACCAAAAUAUUCGUGUAAAACCUUUACGCUCUUUAAAUGCUAAUUAUGGACCAGUUAACAAUCAGAUUGUAAUCAGUCUAAAUGAAUAUCACACAAACAUUGAAAUCAGAAACAAUGUAAAAGAGAUAAAUGUAUUGUGUAAAGAUUGUGACGAAUGCUUUGUGUUCUGUACGCAUCUUUCACUGUCGCGAGUUGGGAGUGCAUCAUAAUGCUGAAACAGUCUGUACAAUAUGAUUACAUGAAUUUGUGCAACCGACAAUAAAACCUGCCGGGCAAAAGAAAUCAACACUUAAAGAUUGGCUUAAACUAAACUCUUACAAAACGUUACUAAGUAACUAACAGUGUCCCAAACACUACACAUUCAAGUUCCAAAACAAACUGGGAAUUUGUUUGAAGUACAUACUAUUAAGUGUCGAACAUUUUGUAAAGUUUAUCCAACAAUAAACAUGCGUGUAUACUUUCUGUUGCCCGGCAGUUCAGACCAACUUUGAAAUCCUAGAAAAUGGGUAUAAUUGACCUCUGUACAUUUAAAAAUAAAUAAAUUGAACUUUGUCGCCA
Haliotis rubra (blacklip abalone) is the source of this 974-nucleotide long non-coding RNA. RefSeq lists it as uncharacterized. Lineage: Eukaryota; Metazoa; Mollusca; Gastropoda; Lepetellida; Haliotidae. The transcript has 4 exons. The record is from RefSeq and is a predicted model, not a curated record.